CAGUAGCCGCGGGAAUACGUAGGGUGCAAGCGUUGUCCGGAAUUAUUGGGCGUAAAGAGCUCGUAGGCGGCUAGUCACGUCGGCUGUGAAAACCUGAGGCUCAACCUCGGGCUUGCAGCCGAUACGGGCUAGCUAGAAUUCGGUAGGGGAGACUGGAAUUCCUGGUGUAGCGGUGAAAUGCGCAGAUAUCAGGAGGAACACCGGUGGCGAAGGCGGGUCUCUGGGCCGAUAUUGACGCUGAGGAGCGAAAGCGUGGGGAGCGAACAGGAUUAGAUACCCCUGUAGUCCCUGUCUCUUAUAC
RNAcentral lists this ribosomal RNA (301 nucleotides) under uncultured bacterium. RNAcentral describes it as "partial 16S ribosomal RNA". It matches the Rfam family "Bacterial small subunit ribosomal RNA", at positions 509 to 807 of the family's 1533-position model. The record is from RNAcentral.